Long non-coding RNA from Morone saxatilis (striped sea-bass), 318 nucleotides. RefSeq lists it as uncharacterized. The transcript is spliced from 3 exons. NCBI's taxonomy places the organism in Eukaryota, Metazoa, Chordata, Actinopteri, Moronidae. The record is from RefSeq and is a predicted model, not a curated record.
GGCAGUGAAAGAUGCAGGAAUGAGGAAUGGAGGAGUGCAUGAGAAGAUUGUGCAAGAAAAAGGCAGAACAACGGGAGUGAAAAAAUCAUCAGAAAUGAUGACUUUGCAGAAGUACACUCCACUGUCGCCCCACUGCAGCUCCCCGAUACGCAGGUCCGCUUCUGCACAGAGACAGGAAACAAGUGCUCAGCCAGCGUCAUGGAUUUUCCCUGCGCCGAGGCCACAACCCGAACUGUGCGGCUGCUGUCGGAGCACUCCAGGUGGGACGUGGCACCCAGCUCAGAGGCGUGGACGCCCAGACUCUCGGGCAGGCUGAAG